AAGUCGUAACAAGGUUUCCGUAGGUGAACCUGCGGAAGGAUCAUUAACACGUAUCCAACGUUAAACAACCCUGUGAACCUUCAUGCCUAGCCCAGGAGGAACAGCAAUCCCGGUAAAUCAAUGGCGGAAAGUUUUGAUUCGGUUACGAUCGAGUGAGCAAAGUGGCAUGGUUUCCCUAAGCAGUGUGAGGCAUCUCGGUUGCCAAGAGGUCGAUCACCGGCCGGCAGACAUGUCACCGGGCUUUAUGCCCCCCCAUUCACACCUUGCCCUAUCAACUCCUGGAGAAAUGCCAGGAGAUAAACCGAACAACUGUUAACAAUGGAUAUCUUGGUUCUC
Molecule: unclassified non-coding RNA, 336 nt
Filed under: fungal sp.
Lineage: Eukaryota; Fungi
Description: partial internal transcribed spacer region
Rfam family: Eukaryotic small subunit ribosomal RNA (bases 1-46)
Source: RNAcentral